AAAAUGUUAGUAAAUAUAUUACUCCCCGCUGUCAGCGGGGAAUAGCCUAGGCACAUUUUA
RNAcentral lists this transfer RNA (60 nucleotides) under Hygrobates turcicus. RNAcentral's name for it is "tRNA-Asp". The record is from RNAcentral. Lineage: Eukaryota; Metazoa; Arthropoda; Arachnida; Trombidiformes; Hygrobatidae.